This 348-nucleotide long non-coding RNA is filed under the name Gallus gallus (chicken). The record is from RNAcentral. Lineage: Eukaryota; Metazoa; Chordata; Aves; Galliformes; Phasianidae.
CCGAGACCCACUUGGUCCAUUCAAACAAGCCCGGCUCUAUCCGAAUUUUCAGGUUGUUCUCUUGUUGCAUACCUUUCAGGAUAUUGUGUGCUGUCUGUACACACCGAAGGGACGGGGAGCUGUAGAUGUAGUCUACAAUGGUGUUAGUUUCUAGCAAGGCUUCUCCAACGAGCCUCGCCUGCAUACAGCCAAGCACAGUGAUGGGCGCAUCUUUUUCAUAAUCCCUGAACCCGCCGCUCCUUUGAGGUAAGCUGUGAGGCAUAUUCAGGUUACUGCGCACGUACCUUCCUUUGGCAUCAAAACACUGUGACAACCAGUACUUCCCAAAAACAACAUCCAUUCUCUCCC